RNAcentral lists this long non-coding RNA (1772 nucleotides) under Mustela putorius furo (domestic ferret). RNAcentral's name for it is "lncRNA (ENSMPUG00000031489.1)". The record is from RNAcentral. Lineage: Eukaryota; Metazoa; Chordata; Mammalia; Carnivora; Mustelidae.
AUAGUAUCCUCAUUUUACAGAGGAGGGAAUCGAGUCUGGGAGACAUUGACCGCAGAAGUCCAGGAGAGUCCAGCACAGCAUUCCAGUUCACCUGACUGCAAAGUCUCUUCUGUUAACUCUCUGCAUCCUGUUUUCUGGAAUGUUUCUUUCCGCGUUGUGAAAGGAGUCUCUCUUGAGUACAUUUGGAAGGAAGAUACUAUAAAAUACUGGAAAGAACUGGUCACAUUAUUAGAAUAUGAACUAUCUCUAGUGAUGUGGGCAUCCAAACAGAAGAUCCUCAACCAUCGGCUUCAGUUAGGAAUAAUCAACAUUCAGUACUCUGUCUCUGCAGCAGAUCCCAUGGUUCCCUCUAACCACCAGAUGCUACCGAGGCUAACAGAUCUGAACCAAGGGAAAAAGGGAAUUUUGUGGGGAAAGCUGUCUUUCAGAAUCCUACUUCGAACCAAAAGAAUGUUCUCUUGAGACUGUCUGCUGUAGAGGAGGUUCCUUGGUUCCCUAGAAGCCAGCUUGGUUAUUUCAAUGGCUGUUGCACAUGAUUCCAGUGAAGCACUUGUCACAAGACUGACCUCCUUACAGAAAAAUAGAGUUUCUGUGUAUCAGAUGUCCAACUUGAUGUUUAGCACAGAGUAAUCCGUCCAUAAAUACUACCCAAAUGAGCUAGGAAACCAUUUAUUUGGUAUUGAUACUACAUUUUUGUAUAUUGUAUGUCCUGAUAAGGACUUAGAAGUUCUUUGAAGUCAAGAACCUACACAGAACACUGAUGUUAAAAAAGCAAAUCUGGGGAAGAGAAAGAAAACUGCAUGUAGCUGGACAUACACUACCACCUCUGAAGUCGACUUGUUAAAAGAAUUGAUCCUGAAUCUGAUCAAACCUUUAGAUCCAACUACAAUUUAUAGAAAAUGUGAAGAAUAGAGGAACAUGUUAAUGACACCACGAGACUGUAUCCAGCAAAAUCCAGAUUGUGUGGUGUUUACCAUAGUAAUCUGCAAACUACAAGCUGUCCCUUGCCUAUUUUUGUACAUCCUCAAGCUUAGGAUGAUUUUACAUUUUUUAAAACUUAAAAAAAAAAUGAAACAAGGAAGAAAAAGUGAUGCAGGUGUCUUCUCUAGGGGACUAUUGACACUUUUAUUCCAAAAAUAAAUUGCAAAAAGAAAACCAAGCGAGAUUAACAGAGACUGAAGUCAUAGAUGAACUCAUAAUGAAUUGAUUUCUAAUUUAAACAAACUACAAAGCAACAAAAGAAACAUUCAUAACAACUAUGAUAUAAUUGAUAUUUAAUGAUUUAAUGAUAUUAGUGAUUUAAUGGUAUUUUAUUGAUAAUGAUAUUUAAUGGUAUUUUAUUGAUUAAGGUAUGAUAAUGUUUUUUUAAAAUACAUUAUUUUUUUAUCUACGCCCUGAAAUUUUUAUGGAUGAUGCUGUGUGGGGAUUUGCUAUUUAGUAAUAAGUGGAGGAGGAAGUGAGCGGGGUUCUGGACAUAGUGAGAUUAUCCAUGAGUUGGUGAUUGCUGUAAUUGGAUGACUGAUUCAUGAGGGUUAUUAUACGCUUGUACUUUUCAAUGUAUUUGAAAUUUUUUACAGUAAAAAGUUAAAAAAAACCCAAUAAACUGGAUUUCUAUCUGGGAUAGAUUCCCAUCAAAAGGACUUUCUUACUGUACUUAGAUUUUUUUUAUUUUACUGACUGCAGGUUCCUUAUCUGUAAAACAGAAAUGAAAAUGAUGCCUGCUUCAUAGGGUUAUGGCAACCAGUAUAUGAGCUACUGCAUAAACAGAGCUU